This 326-nucleotide long non-coding RNA is filed under the name Callithrix jacchus (white-tufted-ear marmoset). RNAcentral's name for it is "lncRNA (ENSCJAG00000060769.2)". Lineage: Eukaryota; Metazoa; Chordata; Mammalia; Primates; Cebidae. The record is from RNAcentral.
UAUAAAUCAGUAAAGUUGUAUAAUUUGCAUAUUAUAUAAGUUUUUAAAUGACUCAUGUUUGUAGUUCAAUUUACAGAUUGGUAUUAAAGGAAAGGGGCAAGCCUGAAGGAGAGAAUAUUGAUUGACUACAUUUAUGAAAAUUAUUCUGACUCUUCAUUCUUAAAGAAUUUGGAAUAUCAAGACACAAAAGAAAACAAAGACACAGAAAUAUUGAACAUUAGAGCAACUGACACUGAAUCUACCACUCACUUGUAGACCUGUGGAACUAUUGCUUUGCCUUUUUAAUAUAUCCAAUUUUUUAUAUCACGUAUGGGAGACAUUCUACC